This 429-nucleotide long non-coding RNA is filed under the name Triticum aestivum (bread wheat). RNAcentral describes it as "long non-coding RNA (TAES_LNC008831)". Lineage: Eukaryota; Viridiplantae; Streptophyta; Magnoliopsida; Poales; Poaceae. The record is from RNAcentral.
CCGAAGCUGUCUAAAUCUUUGUCUUGCGUUGCGUCUCUUGAUUCCGCUCAACCCCUCUCAAGCUACCACAUAGAUGCGUUGGUCUCACGACUAAGUCCUCACACUAGGACAUCUGCCGUGACAAUUCCACGACAUGGAACCACAGAGUUCCAAGUUAAAAAAAUAGUAAUUUUCUUUUUCUAGGAAGAAAAAGGAAUGAUGGUAUGAUGGACGAGGCUCCUCUGACGUACUGCAGGGCGCAGUUGGGCCACUGACAGGUGGGCCCGAAAGCAAGUUGGCCCACCUGUCAGUGACCCAACUGCGCCCUGCAGUACGUCAGGGGAGCCGAGUCCUGGUAUGAUGGGUAGUGGCGGGCUCCACGCAAGUUGGAACGCAGCCCUCUGUGCAACACAUCCAACCACCUCAUUGUUCGACUGGCUCAAAAAAAAA